CGGGUGAGUAAAGCGGCGAACGGGUGAGUAACACGUGAGUAAUCUUCCCUUCGGUCCGGGAUAACACUGCCAACGCGGUGCUAAUACCGGGUAUCAUCCUGCCGUGGCAUCAUGGCGGGAUCAAAGGCUUCGGCCGCCAAAGGAUGUACUCGCGUCCCAUUAGCUUGUUGGCGGGGUAACGGCCCACCAAGGCUUCGAUGGGUAGCCGACCUGAGAGGGUGAUCGGCCACAUUGGGACUGAGAUACGGCCCAGACUCCUACGGGAGGCAGCAGUAGGGAAUUUUGCGCAAUGGGCGAAAGCCUGACGCAGCAACGCCGCGUGGAGGAUGAAAUUCUUCGGAAUGUAAACUCCUGUUAAGAGGGAAGAAACGCCGAUUGGUCGGCCUGACGGUACCUCUUGAGUAAGCCCCGGCUAACUACGUGCCAGCAGCCGCGGUAAUACGUAGGGGGCAAGUGUUGUUCGGAUUUACUGGGUGUAAAGGGAGCGCAGGCGGCUUGGCAAGUCAGAGGUGAAAUCCUUCCGCUUAACGGGAGUCUUGCCUUUGAAACUGCCAGGCUUGAGUGUUGGAGAGGGUAACGGAAUUCCAGGUGUAGCGGUGGAAUGCGUAGAUAUCUGGAAGAACACCAGUUGCGAAGGCGGUUACCUGGCCAAACACUGACGCUCAGGCUCGAAAGCUGGGGGAGCAAACAGGAUUAGAUACCCUGGUAGUCCCAGCCCUAAACGAUGGACACUAGGUGUUGGAGGAGUUAAUCCUUCCAGUGCCGAAGCUAACGCAUUAAGUGUCCCACCUGGGGAGUACGCUCGCAAGAGUGAAACUCAAAGGAAUUGACGGGGGCCCGCACAAGCGGUGGAGCAUGUGGUUCAAUUCGACGCAACGCGAAGAACCUUACCUGGGCUUGACAUGGGGAGGACCAUCCCGAGAGAUCGGGACUUCUGUGGAAACACAGACUUCCUACACAGGUGCUGCAUGGCUGUCGUCAGCUCGUGUCGUGAGAUAUUGGGUUAAGUCCCGCAACGAGCGCAACCCUUGUCCUUAGUUGCCAUCAGGUUAAGCUGGGCACUCUAGGGAGACUGCCUAGAGUAACUAGGAGGAAGGUGAGGAUGACGUCAAGUCAUCAUGGCCCUUACGUCCAGGGCUACACACGUGCUACAAUGGCCUAUACAAUGGGCAGCAAACCCGCAAGGUUGAGCUAAUCCCUUAAAAUAGGUCUCAGUUCGGAUUGGAGUCUGCAACUCGACUCCAUGAAGCUGGAAUCGCUAGUAAUCGCGGAUCAGCACGCCGCGGUGAAUACGUUCCCGGGCCUUGUACACACCGCCCGUCAAGCCAUGGAAGCCGGAAGUACCCAAAGUCGUUUGUCGAACCGUAAGGAGACGACGCCUAAGGUAAAGCCGGUGACUGGGGCUAAGUCGUAACAAGGUA
RNAcentral lists this ribosomal RNA (1421 nucleotides) under metagenome. Its description in RNAcentral is "bacterial SSU rRNA". It matches the Rfam family "Bacterial small subunit ribosomal RNA". The record is from RNAcentral.